UACAGAGGGUGCAAGCGUUAAUCGGAAUUACUGGGCGUAAAGCGCGCGUAGGCGGCUGCUUAAGUCGGAUGUGAAAUCCCCGGGCUCAACCUGGGAACUGCAUUCGAUACUGAGCAGCUAGAGUAUGAGGGAGGGAGGUAGAAUUCCACGUGUAGCGGUGAAAUGCGUAGAUAUGUGGAGGAAUACCGGUGGCGAAGGCGGCCUCCUGGCUUAAUACUGACGCUGAGGUGCGAAAGCGUGGGGAGCAAACAGG
RNAcentral lists this ribosomal RNA (253 nucleotides) under uncultured bacterium. RNAcentral describes it as "partial 16S ribosomal RNA". It matches the Rfam family "Bacterial small subunit ribosomal RNA", at positions 524 to 776 of the family's 1533-position model. The record is from RNAcentral.